Molecule: long non-coding RNA, 214 nt
Organism: Galeopterus variegatus (Sunda flying lemur)
Lineage: Eukaryota; Metazoa; Chordata; Mammalia; Dermoptera; Cynocephalidae
Exons: 2
Source: RefSeq, a predicted model, not a curated record
AAUUUCUACUACUUUUCUGAAGAAGUUAUGAACCAGAAUUCAUUUAUAAGCCUGAAUGCAACGUGCCCCAGAACCUGGAAGAGGGAUCCAGGAACACGCAGAAGGAGUUCCAGGAGCCUUUUAUUUCUUCUUGUUAUGGAGCAGAAAUGGGAAUUCGUAAUUCUCAGAGAUUUUGUUGUUUCAAGUUACAUCUAUUAAUAUUGCCUAUCUCUUA